Molecule: long non-coding RNA, 753 nt
Filed under: Ananas comosus (pineapple)
Lineage: Eukaryota; Viridiplantae; Streptophyta; Magnoliopsida; Poales; Bromeliaceae
Description: long non-coding RNA (ACOM_LNC019295)
Source: RNAcentral
AAAAACCCAAACUAGAGUUGUAUGGUAAAACAUAUUGAGUUAGAUUUCCAUUUUAGGGAUAAUUGUCUAUAUACCCUUCAAAACUUCGAAAAUAUUUAAUUUAUUAUUAUUUUUUUUGGAUAUAUCUCUUAUAUAUUCUUCCGUUAUUCAAAAAUAUCUCUACAUUUAUCACAUUAAGUUAUCUCAGAUUAAACGUGAGUUAAAUAUUUAUCUACUAAAGUUAAAAAAAAAUCAAAAUAUCUCUUUUGCCCUUAACUUAAGGGCAAAUAAAAAAAAUCUGAUGAUGAUAGCUAGGUAUAUUUGAAAAGACUAAAAAUCAAAAUACUUAUUUUGUCCUUAAUUUAAGAGCAAAUAAGAAAAAUUGAUGAUGAUAGCAGGGUAUAUUAGAAAAGACUAAACAUCAAAAUACUUAUUUUGUCCCUAAUUUAAGGGCAAAUAAGAAAAUGGUGAUGGUGGAUCAGAAGGGUAUAUUUGAAAUGACAAAACAAUAGUUUCACAGAGAUAAGAGCUAUUACUAAUAGUUCGCUAACAGAAUUUAACACUAAGUACGCGGGAGUCCCAUUCUGAUUCCCGAGUGGAAUGGGAAUUCCCCACUCACCUUUUUUUUCAAUCAGGCCUAAUUGGCAAGAUUGAAAGUUGAAUCCGGACGGAAUGGAUAUUUAUUCGGAUUAAAUUUAUUUUUUCAACUUUUUUAAUUAAAAUAUGAGUUAAAAUUUAAAAAUUAAAUAUAUAAUUUUAAAUUUUAAUUUAAAC